UACGUAGGGGGCAAGCGUUGUCCGGAUUUAUUGGGCGUAAAGAGCUCGUAGGCGGUUUGUCGCGUCUGCUGUGAAAACCUAAGGCUCAACCUUGGGCUUGCAGUGGGUACGGGCAGACUAGAGUGCGGUAGGGGUGACUGGAAUUCCUGGUGUAGCGGUGGAAUGCGCAGAUAUCAGGAGGAACACCGAUGGCGAAGGCAGGUCACUGGGCCGCAACUGACGCUGGAGGAGCGAAAGCAUGGGGAGCGAACAGG
RNAcentral lists this ribosomal RNA (254 nucleotides) under uncultured bacterium. RNAcentral's name for it is "partial 16S ribosomal RNA". It matches the Rfam family "Bacterial small subunit ribosomal RNA", at positions 524 to 776 of the family's 1533-position model. The record is from RNAcentral.